Molecule: long non-coding RNA, 4494 nt
Organism: Lagopus muta (rock ptarmigan)
Lineage: Eukaryota; Metazoa; Chordata; Aves; Galliformes; Phasianidae
Exons: 2
Source: RefSeq, a predicted model, not a curated record
AGAAAGCAUGUCUGAAAGAAGAAGGGAUUUACUCCUGUAAGGGCCCUUAAAGACUGGUUUGGCUCCUGCGUGGGAAUUUCAAAACAAAGAAAACUUCAGAAACAAACAAACAAGAAAGACAACAAAGACAACACUGAUGUGAUAAGGCCCUUCCCCAUCUCCCAGAUGUCUCUAUGAAGUCAUUCAUGGGAUAUUACACAGGCACCAUGCAUUUGCAGCACAAGAAUACUGAUACAUUAAUAAUACAAGCCCAACAAGUAAUGAUGUUUUUUGUUUGUUGACUAUACAACUUAACUGUAAGUGAAAGCAUGCAAAAAAGGGGAUGUGUUCUUCAGCGCAGGGACUGGCUCACUCAGGGCCUGGUUUUGUAUUCUUCAUGUUGACAGUAUUUAACAAAUAAUGAUGCUCAGUUAGAGCUACACUAUACUUCUCAACUCCAUUGCAAUCACACAGAUAAUGCUAUGCUCUCAUUUCAUACUGAGCAUGCUAACUGUAUUUUAAACAACUUUCAGAAGAGUUUUACUAAUUUUAAAUACACCUGCCAUUGCUCUCAUGAAAGUGUACUUCAAAAUAAAAAAGGAAGCAAUGACAGAGGCAUUAAAAUGCAGAGACAUUAUUCAUAUUAGCAGGGAAGAGGCUCAGUGCAAAUGCUAUACGGGAGUACUGUCACUCUGUUCUCUGCCUGCUCCUUUGUCAAUACACUCAGGCAUGGGGUAGCUAUUUGUCAUGAGGUGAAUUGUGGAACUCACCUACACUUGAACUUCCUCCACUUGCUUGUUGUGCUAAGUUUGACACGUUGCUGCCAAACAACAUCAUAUCAGCACUGCCCUGGAUGGCCCAUUGAGUCCCUGGCUUGGCCAGUUACUCUCCCUUGGCAACCAGUCAGUGGUAAGAGGUGGGUGCCUUCUUGGAGGCAGAUUCAGAGCAAGAGCCUAACUGUGAGGGCUUGCAGUCAUCACUCUGGCUCCAGAGAGAGGUAUUUACUACAAAACCUACCAACAAAUCCACUCCCACUCAUCUGUCUUCUACCCACUAAUACAGAGUACAACAGUUAACCUCAGAGUGAUGUCAUCUGUGACCCGACUGUACCACAUUUUCCAGGAAAUGUAAUGCAAGUCUUAGCCUGUGCCCUCUCAGAGCCAUGGAUAGAACAAUAUCCCCCUUCCCCUCAUUACACAUGCACACAUUGAAAAAAAAUGUGCAAACCUCCUAUUUAGAGGGACAGUAAAAAUACAAAGCACAUGAAACUUGAUUUGUGAAACCGUAGCUUAAGCUCUCCUUACCUAGAAGAGAGGAAUGAGGGAUGUGGGGAUCUGCUUGGUGGAUAGGGUACUUGGACUUACUUGCCUGCAAUGCAAGAGGAUCAUGUCUCAUUGGUGGGCUUACUGUACUACAGGUAUGUUUAAGCACCCAUGUGUUUAACAGCACUUACAGAAGCAAUUCUAAUAAAAAGCAGCAGUUUUAUGACAGUUAAGUCAUUGUCAAAUUUAUUUUUUGAAUCCUGCCAACUGCAACUUGCUCUCUCACCAACAUCUGCUGCUUUCAUCUUCAGAAUAAAAAUCCAAGCCCUGCAAGUCUAAUCACAUAACAGUUCCAACUCAAAUCUUCAUAUUAGUUAAGGUUUGCUCUUUUCCACACCGAAAAUUACUAUGUAAAAACAAAUCUGGAACAUCAAACUUAAAGAUGUGAAAGGAUCAAGGCUCUAUGCAACUUGAAACAUGUAGGCACAGAGGAACUAUUCAGUUAUCUUUUGCCUCCCUUGCUCUCUCCUUCUUCAUGUGGUUCAGCUUUGUGCUUCAAAGGCAAUUCAGGCUGUUUUAAAAUCUUCCCAAGCAGCACUGACAUGGAGGCUUAUAGGUGUAUAGGUGUAUCCUAUUUGUACUUUUUAAUUGGAAGUUAAAUUAUAAAGCUAUCUGUGAACGCUCAGUUCUGCAGUAGGCUUAAUGCAGAACUAGAGCGUGUGGUUUUCAUGGCAAGGCACCUCAGCUGUAGGGAACUUAAAGAGUCCAGUUCACCAGGACAUAGACAGGAUCCUCAUGCAUUUCAGGAGAUGGUAAUAAUUACAAUCAAUUUAUCCUAACAACACAGUUCAACCCUAGUAAAUCUCAGAACAGACACGUGCCACCAAGUCCCAGAUCAUUCUCUGUGGGAAUCAUCAAAUACUACAAAUCUAAACACUACAAUGCCAAGGGCAUAUACAUAGCUUAUACACAGCAAGCAUGCAUGGAAAGGGAAGACUGGGGGCAGGAGAAAAGAUCUUCCUUUUGAUUAAAAAAUAAAUAAAUUAGGAGAAUGCAGAAACACAAUGGUGUUUCACUGACCACAACUAACAGCAGAUAAGUGAAGGAACAGGAGGAUUGAAGAGAACCUCUGCAGCUGAAUUUUUAGAUGCUGCUGGAACAAAGGCACAGUGAAAACAAAACAUUCACCACCUCUUGGAGCUGGAGUUACACACUGCAUCCCAGCAGACAUCUGGGUGGUUGAAAUCCCCUGUCAGGAUGAGAGCUGGCAAGAGCAAUGCUUCCUGCAGCUGAAAAAGCAAGAAGGCCUCGUUAGCAGGCUUCCCUAGGUUAGGCAGCCUAUAGUAGAACCUGACCAUCAGUUGAAAUGGCAUAUACCAUAGAAUCAUAGAAUUGCUCAGGUUGGAAAAGACCUCAAAGUUCAUCAAGUCCAACCACAACCUAACCAUACCAUAACCUACCAUAACUAAUAACCCUCUGCUAAAUCAUGGGUUCCUGAGCACCAAAUCCAAACAGUUUUUAAACACAUGUAGGAAUGGUGACUCAACCACCUCCCUGGGAAGCCUAUUCCAGGGCCUAAGGUGAAAGAUUCUUUGUUCCUACCACGAUAACCUGCAGUAUUUUUUCCAAUUUCAUUAAUCCUUCUUUCAGGUCUCCUCUACACAGUCACCUCAGUUAAAAUGAGGGAAAAGCAAGUAGGAAUUCAUUAUUGAAAACCUCUUAGAUGCACUUGGAAGAUCUUGCAAAGCCCACAGAUCAGGUGAGUCCUCCUGUAAACUUGAUUACGAAGGGGAAAAUAAAGCAUAUUUUAAACAUCAAGGGCAACAUGGCAAUAUUGCUCCUAUGUUUUCAAAUUUUGAAUAACAAUACUGGUAAAUGGAGAGACAACUCGAACAUGCGCAAUGUGCUAUUAUACACACACCCAAGCACUAAUCAAAUUUUCUGCAGUCUCCCUCAGGUGGUUAAAGAGGGAAUACAACCUUUUUCUAACAUGAAUUUCUGCUGACUUCGCCAGAUGUCUAAAUUGUUCAAGUCUUACUAAAUAAAUAUUCUCUGCAAAAGUGACGUGAGGUGGGGGAGGUCUGCUAUUACUGUAGCCCCCCCCCAUAUCAUAUGAUAGUUCCAUAUCAGCUACCUGUAAUGCAGGUAAUAGAAGAAAACAAACAAAUUAAUUUCACAGACCUAAAUGAGAAAUGGAAAAGAAAUACAAACCAAAAUUCAAAACACAGAAAGCUUUACAGAAUGCCAAUAGCUUUCGCUAUUUGCUUCUACAGUGUUAUCCAACUUCCUCAAUACAUUAUUGCUAUGAAAUCCCACUGACUGGAAACAGGUGCUAUUUUGAAUACUGAGAAGGAUACUAAGUAUCCUGGGUCCACAUCAAGCUAGAAUACAAAGCAAGACAAUUCAGGAAAAUGCAGUGCUAGUAUUAGUUCAGUUGGAACACACAAGCAGAACAGACAGGAGAUGUGCUGUUUCUGCAGGUUUUUCUGGCUGUAUGCCCCAAAAAAUUGUUCAGGAAGAGAACAAGUUGUUAAGAGUUUCACUGAUGACAGAAAUUGUAAAGCCACAAUGAGAUUCUCACUUCUCAGAUCUGCCUGAGAAGCCCUUGAUAUCGUAAAUCCUUAUUUUUAAUAUAGAAUGUACAGAAAAUAAAUAAGCUUAAUACCAUUACAGUCUUUAAGGCUUAUUUUUUUUUUUAAUUUAAAAAGUUUGUCAAACAAGAUGAAUAUUUACAAAAUGUUUAGUAUUUCAGCUCUAGUACCAAAACCUGUUCACUACAGUACACAGAUAAAGAAAGUAGAAUAUACAAAUUUAAAAUAUAGAGUAUCAAGAAAAUCUAGGUGACCUGAUAAAAAUUACAGCAUUUCCCAAAUGGAAAGGUAAAACGUCAAACAGCAUGGCUUUAACUGAGCACACACUUCCAGUAAAUACAGUAGAGACAGACUCUGGAAAAUCUACACCAGUGUAGUAAUUGAUGCUAGAUCAAAGCCACCACUCACCUCUUGAAUCCCUACAUCCCUUGAAUAUAAACUGUACAUAUGAAAUUUACAGUGAUUUUCAAAAGCUCAUUCUCAAUCUCCAGAAAGAUGUUCUAAUGCCACACAAUUGAUGCAAUCUCUUUGUCUACGAGUUUUCCUACAUAACGGUUUAGUUUACCUGCCCAAAUGAUGAUAAAAAAUUCUUCUGUUGGACAAAAAGAAUACAAAUUCCUAAUAUUCAGAAGUCAAAUGCAAGAAAAGUCUUUUUUUUUUUU